RNAcentral lists this ribosomal RNA (1857 nucleotides) under Triticum aestivum (bread wheat). RNAcentral's name for it is "partial small subunit ribosomal RNA". Lineage: Eukaryota; Viridiplantae; Streptophyta; Magnoliopsida; Poales; Poaceae. The record is from RNAcentral.
AUGGGGGAGGCCUCCGAGUAUGACGGGGUGGAUGUGGCGGCUGUAUCGGCGAGGUUGCUGGAGCUGGUGGCCGACGACGACGUGACGGCGCUCGUCGACCUUCUCGCCGCGCACCCGCUCCUCGCGGAUGAGCCGGCGCCGUGGUACUCUCCGGCGCGGGGCGCGGAGCCCAUGACGCCGCUCAUGGUCGCCGCCGCGUACGGGUCCCUGGCUUGCCUCGACGCCCUCCUCUCGCCGCCCCACCUCGCCGACCCCAACCGCGCCUCCGCCUCCUCGCUCUCCACCCCGCUCCACCUCGCCGCCGCGGGCGGCGCUCCAUCCGCACCCACCACCGUUUCCCGCCUCCUCGCUGCCGGCGCCGACCCUACCCUCCUUGACCAUCUCCACCGCCGGCCGUCAGACCUCGUCGCGCUGCCGCCAAACUCGUUGCCCCUCAAGAACCACAUCCUCUCACUCCUUGGCGCCCGGAAGGAGUGGCCACCGGACCCCUCACUCCCGGACAUCAAGAACGGCGCAUACGCUUCCGACGACUUCCGCAUGUAUUCCUUCAAGGUCCGCGCGUGCUCCAGGGCCUACUCCCACGACUGGACGGAGUGCCCCUUCGUCCACCCAGGAGAGAACGCGCGGCGGAGGGAUCCGAGGAGGUACCACUACAGCUGCGUGCCGUGCCCGGAGUUCAAGAAGGGCGCCGGGUGCAGGAGAGGGGACAUGUGCGAGUAUGCGCACGGGGUGUUCGAGAGCUGGCUCCACCCGGCGCAGUACCGGACGCGGCUCUGCAAGGACGGCGUCGGCUGCGCGCGCCGCGUCUGCUUCUUCGCUCACACGCCGGAGGAGCUCCGGCCGCUGUACGUGUCCACAGGCUCGGCCGUGCCGUCGCCCCGCGGGGCGAUGGAGAUGGCCGCCAUGGGGAUGGGGCUGUCAUCUCCGGGAUCUUCGUUCACGCCGCCGCUGUCGCCGUCCGGUGGAGGGAGUGGCAUGGCGUGGCCGCAGCCUAACUUGCCGGCGCUGUGCCUCCCCGGGAGCGCAGGGAACUUGCACCUGAGCCGGCUGCGCACCUCGCUGAGCGCGAGGGCCAUGGCGGUCGACGAGCUUCUGGCCUCGGGGGACUAUGACAACCACCUUGGAUCGCCUGCCUCUGUGCGGUCGGCGAGGGGGAAGGCGCUUGUGCCGUCAAAUCUGGACGAACUGUUCUCGGCGGAGAUGGCGGCCUCCCACUCGCCGCGGUACGCCGACCAGGGCGGCGCUGCGUUCUCGCCGACGCACAAGGCCGCCUUCCUGAACCAGUUCCAGCAGCAUCAGAGCUUGCUCUCGCCACGGGCUGCGGCCACCCCAGAGCCUGUCUCACCAAUGAGCUCCCGGCUGCUCGCUGCGUUGGCGCAGCGGGAGAUGAUGCAGCAGCAGACACUGCGAAGCAUGAGCUCAAGAGACCUGGGCUCCAGCGCCCCGCUCCUGGUCGGCUCACCGGUGGUGGGCUCUAGCUGGUCCAAAUGGGGCCUCCCCUCGGGCACCCCAGAUUGGGGCGCUGACAACGACGAGCUUGGCCGUCUCAAGCGGUCCUCGUCGUUUGAUCUCCGGUCUGGGGCCAACACCGAUGAGCCUGACCUCUCAUGGGUCAAUACCUUAGUAAAGGAGCCCACGCCGGAGAAAUCAUCAACCAACGGGACCAUGGCAACAGAGUCUAUUGGCAUCUUGGGCCGAUCAGCAAGCCACCACGAGAGCAUUGCCGGUGAUGACAGUGCCAUCUUGGGUCGAACAGCGAACCACCGUGAGGGCAUCAUCGACGGUGAGGAGGACGCCGCCACUGGUGUCAUCGGUGGGUGGCUCGAACAGCUCCAGCUCGAUGAGAUGGUAGUUUAG